AACGAACGCUGGCGGCAUGCCUAACACAUGCAAGUCGAACGAGACCUUCGGGUCUAGUGGCGCACGGGUGCGUAACGCGUGGGAACCUGCCCUUAGGUUCGGAAUAACUCCCCGAAAGGGGUGCUAAUACCGGAUAAUGUCUUCGGACCAAAGAUUUAUCGCCUUUGGAUGGGCCCGCGUUGGAUUAGCUAGUUGGUAGGGUAAAAGCCUACCAAGGCGACGAUCCAUAGCCGGUCUGAGAGGAUGAUCAGCCACACUGGGACUGAGACACGGCCCAGACUCCUACGGGAGGCAGCAGUGGGGAAUAGUGGACAAUGGGCGAAAGCCUGAUCCAGCAAUGCCGCGUGAGUGAUGAAGGCCUUAGGGUUGUAAAGCUCUUUUACCCGGGAUGAUAAUGACAGUACCGGGAGAAUAAGCGCCGGCUAACUCCGUG
This 433-nucleotide ribosomal RNA is filed under the name uncultured bacterium. RNAcentral's name for it is "partial 16S ribosomal RNA". It matches the Rfam family "Bacterial small subunit ribosomal RNA", at positions 29 to 507 of the family's 1533-position model. The record is from RNAcentral.